UACGAAGGGGGCUAGCGUUGCUCGGAAUUACUGGGCGUAAAGGGCGCGUAGGCGGAUACUUAAGUCGGGGGUGAAAGCCCGGGGCUCAACCUCGGAAUUGCCUUCGAUACUGGGUAUCUAGAGUAUGGGAGAGGUGUGUGGAACUCCGAGUGUAGAGGUGAAAUUCGUAGAUAUUCGGAAGAACACCAGUGGCGAAGGCGACACACUGGCCCAUUACUGACGCUGAGGCGCGAAAGCGUGGAGAGCAAACAGG
This 253-nucleotide ribosomal RNA is filed under the name uncultured bacterium. RNAcentral describes it as "partial 16S ribosomal RNA". It matches the Rfam family "Bacterial small subunit ribosomal RNA", at positions 524 to 776 of the family's 1533-position model. The record is from RNAcentral.